GAAAAUUAACUUUUUCCUUUCUUUUCAUUUUAUGCUUUCUUGAGAAAUUAUCUUGUUAAAGGACCUUUUUAAACCUGAUUUUUUACAGAACUAUUGUACAAUUAGUUACACUUCAUAGACCCCAGGAUCAUUAUCGUGUCUGCAUUAUCCCGCUGAAAAAAAUCCCCCCACAUCAAAUAGCUGGAGAUGCCUUAGUGUGAGCCUAUUCCGACCUCCAUAUCCUAUUUACUUUCCUGUCCGGAGGCAAAAGCCAACAGGCUAAUUACUAGCUACGCCAUCAGUGCUUCCCCAAGAGAUCCGGUUGUAUUUGUCUUUACAUCAAUGCAAUCUGCUUCUGCAACUCAUCUGAAGAGUUAAGCCCAGAAAAGAUCAGGACCAAGCACAGAAUUCAGCAAACACAGAAUGAUACAUACACUUGUAUGACCGUGAAAGCCACUCAUGAUGAAAUCAAAAUUUCUAAUAAAUAUCAAUAUCAAUUUAUAAAUAUUCAUUAACAAAUCCAAUUCAAAGAAAACCGUAAUAAUCAAACCAAGAAACCCAAAAAACAUUUUUUUAUUGGAUUGGAUUGCAUUGGUCUUCAAACAAGUUUUGAAUGUACUUUUAAGCCCCAGUAUUUGAGGGCGACUCUUGAAGCAAUGGUAAAUUGAUUGUGACAUGGAGAUCACAUGUUCAAACCCUAGAAACAAUUUCUCUGUUUGUGGAGUUAAGGAUGCAUACAUCUACUCUCUCCAGGCCCCACCUGAUGAAAGCCUUGUGCACUAGGCCUCACAUCUCCUUCAUGAUAAUAUACUCUCUCCAUUCUCUUUUAUAAACAAAUUUUAUGUUUAGGUUCAUGGAAUAAAUAAUGUAUUUAGACCAUAAAAAUAGAGAGGAGAAGAAAAGUGAGAAGAGAGAGAAAUGUGUGGGAUCCACCACUUUUUUCAAUCUCUUCAAAAUAGAGAAGAGAAGAAAAGUGUUAAGUAAAAUGAUACUAACUUGUCAUCUAUACCCCUAUUUUCAUCUAAUUCAAAGUUAUUAUUAAGGACAGUUUUGUAUUUUAAUAAUGAUCAGCAUUUCUCUGUUCUCUAUAUCUCUAUUUCUCUUAUAACAAACAAUACAUCAAAUCUUCUUUAUUUCUCACAUCUUUCUCUCUUCUUCGACUCUCUCUUACAUACUUCUCUCUUUCUUCUAACUUUCUCUUCACAACCAAUCAGACCCUUAGGGAUAUGCAGACUUCCGUGUAACUUUUUAGCCACAUCAAACCUUUAGCCACAUCAUAAUAGAUUUUAAAAGGUUAACUCAAAAAUCUUUUCUUACUACUCAAACUGAUUUCCCAUCCCCACUUUCAGUGAUUAUCCCUCUUUAUACCUUCCCCCCUCAGCACUUUGGGCAACUUGGAUCUAAGGCAGAUGGGUCUCUAGUCUCUACUGUGGAACUUGAUGGUGUACCAGUUCAUUGUGGCGAAGUGAAAAGGUUUAACAAAAACAACAUCAUUUUCUGAAGUAGUUCAUAUAAGUUCAAGAAAUUGACAAUAUCAGAUAAUUGUGCAUUUCGAGAGAUUCUUUUUCUGAGAAAUUCAAUUGACUUGGAUUGGACCAGAUUUCACUGACCUUGCAGAAAACUCUUUUCAAUUAUGCAGGAAAGUCAGGUUCUUGCGGAGACAAAGGACCAGCAACGAUGAGGAUGAGGUUGUUUAGACAGACAUGGAUUGGACAGUGGUGCCUCUGCCACACCUUUCGACCCAUUUUUAGAACGAUAAAUGCUGAUUGUUUUUCUAAACUUUUUCUGCACCACAUCGAUAAUUGUGGUGGAUUGUGAUUGAGUUUUUUAUGUUAAUUAAAUAUUUUUAAUUGGUCGUCUGAAUUGACAAAAUUGAGAAUUAUAAUUGGAUAGUGUAAGGCAAUUGUACACUAACUAACAAUACAUAUCCUUUAACCUCUUAAGUAAACUACAUUAACCUUAGAGAUGUGUAUACAUUUAAAUAAACUCGAUCAGUUUCCCAAAGAAAAUGAAAUUUAAAUUAACUCCAAUUUUCUCUCCACUUACUUAUUUUUCAAUCACUGCAAAUACGCCAUGUCUCACCUCUCCUCCAUUUCAUUACCCAGCCCCAUGAAUAUGAACAGAACAAGGAAGAAAAUCACAUAUAUGAUACUCUUCAUUCAACUAACCUUAUGUUAUAAUUAUAUUACACCUACUACCUUCAGUUCUAAUUGCAUAUUAAACCUACUACAAUGAACUUUUUUUUCCAAUAAUUCAACAAUCUACCAAUAAUAGUACGGCUCUAACAGCAGAUUUAUGUUCAGGACUUCAGGGCCCACGUGACCUCUAUAUAUUCUAAAACCUACAGUAACAGCAUCAAAAGUGCCAUGUUAAUGAAGAAAGUGAUGUCCUAAACUAAUAACAGAUUAUAAUCACUUGUUACAGGUUUUGGGCAAUUUAUAAAACCAAAAUCAAGUCACUAUUAGCUAUAGACAACCACUAAACCCAAGGAAACGAAUGCAAAGAAUAUAAUGUCACAAAACGGGGGGAAAUCCACAAUUAAAGUAAUAAGAGAGAAAACAUGCCCUUACCUGAUAACUUAUAAACCAUCUGCCACAAGAAUGCAUUGUGAUGGACAAAUAGCCAUUUAUAUUGAGAUUUCUUUAGUUUCUAUAAGUGCCAUGAGAAUAACUGG
This 2653-nucleotide long non-coding RNA is filed under the name Lathyrus oleraceus (garden pea). RNAcentral describes it as "Pisum sativum (pea) long non-coding RNA (PSAT_LNC010533)". Lineage: Eukaryota; Viridiplantae; Streptophyta; Magnoliopsida; Fabales; Fabaceae. The record is from RNAcentral.